UACGAAGGGGGCUAGCGUUGUUCGGAUUUACUGGGCGUAAAGCGCACGUAGGCGGACUCUUAAGUCGGUGGUGAAAUCCUGGAGCUCAACUCCAGAACUGCCUUCGAUACUGGGAGUCUCGAGUUCGGGAGAGGUGAGUGGAACUGCGAGUGUAGAGGUGAAAUUCGUAGAUAUUCGCAAGAACACCAGUGGCGAAGGCGGCUCACUGGCCCGGAACUGACGCUGAGGUGCGAAAGCGUGGGGAGCAAACAGG
RNAcentral lists this ribosomal RNA (253 nucleotides) under uncultured bacterium. Its description in RNAcentral is "partial 16S ribosomal RNA". It matches the Rfam family "Bacterial small subunit ribosomal RNA", at positions 524 to 776 of the family's 1533-position model. The record is from RNAcentral.